This 910-nucleotide ribosomal RNA is filed under the name Neofusicoccum vitifusiforme. Its description in RNAcentral is "LSU rRNA". It matches the Rfam family "Eukaryotic large subunit ribosomal RNA", at positions 36 to 964 of the family's 3401-position model. Lineage: Eukaryota; Fungi; Ascomycota; Dothideomycetes; Botryosphaeriales; Botryosphaeriaceae. The record is from RNAcentral.
UAGCAUAUCAAUAAGCGGAGGAAAAGAAACCAACAGGGAUUGCCUUAGUAACGGCGAGUGAAGCGGCAAUAGCUCAAAUUUGAAAGCUGGCCCCUUCGGGGUCCGCGUUGUAAUUUGUAGAGGAUGGUUCGGCGAGGGCUCCCGUCUAAGUCCCUUGGAACAGGGCGUCAUAGAGGGUGAGAAUCCCGUAUGUGAUGGGCUGCCUUAGCCAUGUGAACCUCCUUCGACGAGUCGAGUUGUUUGGGAAUGCAGCUCUAAAUGGGAGGUAAAUUUCUUCUAAAGCUAAAUACCGGCCAGAGACCGAUAGCGCACAAGUAGAGUGAUCGAAAGAUGAAAAGCACUUUGGAAAGAGAGUUAAAAAGUACGUGAAAUUGUUGAAAGGGAAGCGCUUGCAGCCAGACUUGUCCGCAGUUGCUCAGCCUGUCUCCUGACAGGCGCACUCUUCUGCGGCCAGGCCAGCAUCAGUUCGGGCGGUCGGAUAAAGACCCGGGGAAUGUAGCUCCUCUCGGGGAGUGUUAUAGCCCUGGGUGCAAUGCGGCCAGCCUGGACUGAGGAUCUCGCUUCGGCUAGGAUGCUGGCGUAAUGGCUGUAAGCGGCCCGUCUUGAAACACGGACCAAGGAGUCUAACAUCUAUGCGAGUGUUUGGGUGUCAAACCCAUGCGCGUAAUGAAAGUGAACGGAGGUGGGAACCCUCACGGGUGCACCAUCGACCGAUCCUGAUGUCUUCGGAUGGAUUUGAGUAAGAGCAUAGCUGUUGGGACCCGAAAGAUGGUGAACUAUGCCUGAAUAGGGUGAAGCCAGAGGAAACUCUGGUGGAGGCUCGCAGCGGUUCUGACGUGCAAAUCGAUCGUCAAAUUUGGGUAUAGGGGCGAAAGACUAAUCGAACCAUCUAGUAGCUGGGUCCUUCCGA